RNAcentral lists this ribosomal RNA (219 nucleotides) under uncultured bacterium. Its description in RNAcentral is "partial 16S ribosomal RNA". It matches the Rfam family "Bacterial small subunit ribosomal RNA", at positions 99 to 334 of the family's 1533-position model. The record is from RNAcentral.
CGAACGGGUGAGUAACGCGUAGGAACCUGCCUCGACGAGGGGAUAACACUUGGAAACAGGUGCUAAUACCGCAUGUGGUCGCGAGAAGAAAGCCGAAAGGCGCGUUGAGAGGGGCCUGCGUUCGAUUAGCUAGUUGGUGGGGUAAGGGCCUACCAAGGCGACGAUCGGUAGCUGGUCUGAGAGGAUGGUCAGCCACACUGGGACUGAGACACGGCCCAG